CGGGAAGGCAGCAGUGGGGAAUAUUGGACAAUGGGCGCAAGCCUGAUCCAGCCAUACCGCGUGGGUGAAGAAGGCCUUCGGGUUGUAAAGCCCUUUUGUUGGGAAAGAAAUCCAGCUGGCUAAUACCCGGUUGGGAUGACGGUACCCAAAGAAUAAGCACCGGCUAACUUCGUGCCAGCAGCCGCGGUAAUACGAAGGGUGCAAGCGUUACUCGGAAUUACUGGGCGUAAAGCGUGCGUAGGUGGUCGUUUAAGUCCGUUGUGAAAGCCCUGGGCUCAACCUGGGAACUGCAGUGGAUACUGGGCGACUAGAAUGUGGUAGAGGGUAGCGGAAUUCCUGGUGUAGCAGUGAAAUGCGUAGAGAUCAGGAGGAACAUCCAUGGCGAAGGCAGCUACCUGGACCAACAUUGACACUGAGGCACGAAAGCGUGGGGAGCAAACAGGAUUAGAUACCCUGGUAGUCCACGCCCUAAACGAUGCGAACUGGAUGUUGGGUGCAAUUUGGCACGCAGUAUCGAAGCUAACGCGUUAAGUUCGCCGCCUGGGGAGUACGGUCGCAAGACUGAAACUCAAAGGAAUUGACGGGG
RNAcentral lists this ribosomal RNA (586 nucleotides) under Bacillus subtilis. RNAcentral's name for it is "bacterial SSU rRNA". It matches the Rfam family "Bacterial small subunit ribosomal RNA", at positions 341 to 918 of the family's 1533-position model. The record is from RNAcentral. Lineage: Bacteria; Bacillati; Bacillota; Bacilli; Caryophanales; Bacillaceae.